Molecule: ribosomal RNA, 119 nt
Filed under: Arabidopsis suecica
Lineage: Eukaryota; Viridiplantae; Streptophyta; Magnoliopsida; Brassicales; Brassicaceae
Source: RNAcentral
AGAUGCGAUCAUACCAGCACUAAUGCACCGGAUCCCAUCAGAAUUCCGCAGUCAAGCUUGCUUGGGCGAGAGUAGUACUAGGAUGGGUGACCUCCCGGGAAGUCCUUGUGUUGCAUCCC